Molecule: long non-coding RNA, 486 nt
Filed under: Arachis ipaensis
Lineage: Eukaryota; Viridiplantae; Streptophyta; Magnoliopsida; Fabales; Fabaceae
Description: long non-coding RNA (AIPA_LNC001415)
Source: RNAcentral
ACCGGUCUUCACGGACGUCGCCGCUCUUCGCUAUCGCCGCCACCGCUGCUCCUCCUCGUCUCUGUUGGAUCUCACCGCCAGAUGUCGCCGCUGCUCCUCUUCCUGGAUCGACGUCGGCGCCAGCAGAUCCGCGAGGGUGGACGUCGUGCGCCGGUCGCCGUUUCUGUUCCUCCUCCUUGCUCGGCCGCCGAGGUCGCUGCUCUGGCCGGUUUCUAGUUUCUGGUUUCUUGUGGUUUCUUUUGGUUCUACUGCUUCUGCAUGCUUAUGAUUAUCAAUCUGGUUUCUGUGUUGUUGUUGUUCUUUUGAUUCCAUUAUCGAUUGAGUUCUAAGUUAUGGGUUUUCGUUUUUCUGAUUUUGGAUUCUGAGUUUUGACGAUGACGAUGAUUUUGAAUUCUGGGUUGUUGUUCUUCUAUUAUUGUUGUUCUUCUAUUUCUUGCUAUUUUUAUUGUUGUUUGUUUGAGUUUAGAUGAUGAUUUUUUGAGUUUU